Molecule: unclassified non-coding RNA, 345 nt
Filed under: soil metagenome
Description: partial contains 5.8S ribosomal RNA, internal transcribed spacer 2, and large subunit ribosomal RNA
Rfam family: 5.8S ribosomal RNA (bases 1-120)
Source: RNAcentral
GAUGAAGAACGCAGCGAAAUGCGAUAAGUAAUGUGAAUUGCAGAAUUCAGUGAAUCAUCGAAUCUUUGAACGCACAUUGCGCCCGCCAGCAUUCUGGCGGGCAUGCCUGUUCGAGCGUCAUUUCAACCCUCGACUUCCCUUUGGGGAAAUCGGCGUUGGGGACUGGCAGCAUACCGCCGGCCCCGAAAUGGAGUGGUGGCCCGUCCGCGGCGACCUCUGCGUAGUAAUCCAACCUCGCACCGGAACCCCGACGUGGCCACGCCGUAAAACACCCCACUUUCUGAACGUUGACCUCGGAUCAGGUAGGAAUACCCGCUGAACUUAAGCAUAUCAAUAAGCGGAGGA